Molecule: non-coding RNA, 38 nt
Organism: Schistosoma curassoni
Lineage: Eukaryota; Metazoa; Platyhelminthes; Trematoda; Strigeidida; Schistosomatidae
Source: Rfam
UGCUGAGGAGUCCCACAAUAGGACGAAAUGGCCGUCCA